UUCCUUUUUGGCCAAAACUUAAUGAGUUGUCUACUUCUUCUCAUUGUGUGGCACUCUAUGGUAAAAUGGCGUGUCAAUUUUGAAUUUUUAAAAUUAAAGUUAAUGAUGUGGAAAUAUUUUAACAUAGGGUUGGAUUAAAAGAAAAGAGAUUUAGGUUAGAAUCAAUUCACGAUUGGGGUUGAAGAAUUUGGUGAAAGUGAUGUUGAAAUUGGGAUCGUGAUGGUGUAAUUUCAAGAGGUCAGUGUUUUUCUUAGUAUAAUUUUGUGAUUCCUAUCUUGCGAUAACUACUUUCCUCACCUUAAUGGUGGCGCACAAAGCAAACGACCACAGCUAGGGGUUUCGAGACCCACACGAGAGAAAAACCAGUGAGACACGGGAUGCGAAAAACAAAUUGAGGAUUUCCCAAUUUAGGGUUUGUCCAAUUUAGAAUAAGG
Molecule: long non-coding RNA, 434 nt
Filed under: Vigna radiata
Lineage: Eukaryota; Viridiplantae; Streptophyta; Magnoliopsida; Fabales; Fabaceae
Description: long non-coding RNA (VRAD_LNC018006)
Source: RNAcentral